Molecule: ribosomal RNA, 433 nt
Filed under: uncultured bacterium
Lineage: Bacteria
Description: partial 16S ribosomal RNA
Rfam family: Bacterial small subunit ribosomal RNA
Source: RNAcentral
AACGAACGCUGGCGGCAUGCCUAACACAUGCAAGUCGAACGAGACCUUCGGGUCUAGUGGCGCACGGGUGCGUAACGCGUGGGAACCUUCCCUUAGGUUCGGAAUAACUCCCCGAAAGGGGUGCUAAUACCGGAUAAUGUCUUCGGACCAAAGAUUUAUCGCCUUUGGAUGGGCCCGCGUUGGAUUAGCUAGUUGGUAGGGUAAAAGCCUACCAAGGCGACGAUCCAUAGCUGGUCUGAGAGGAUGAUCAGCCACACUGGGACUGAGACACGGCCCAGACUCCUACGGGAGGCAGCAGUGGGGAAUAUUGGGCAAUGGGCGAAAGCCUGAUCCAGCAAUGCCGCGUGAGUGAUGAAGGCCUUAGGGUUGUAAAGCUCUUUUACCCGGGAUGAUAAUGACAGUACCGGGAGAAUAAGCUCCGGCUAACUCCGUG